RNAcentral lists this ribosomal RNA (451 nucleotides) under uncultured organism. RNAcentral describes it as "partial 16S ribosomal RNA". It matches the Rfam family "Bacterial small subunit ribosomal RNA", at positions 333 to 800 of the family's 1533-position model. The record is from RNAcentral.
ACACUCCUGCGGGAGGCAGCAGUGGGGAAUAUUGGACAAUGGGCGCAAGCCUGAUCCAGCCAUGCCGCGUGAGUGAUGAAGGCACUAGGGUUGUAAAGCUCUUUCACCGGUGAAGAUAAUGACGGUAACCGGAGAAGAAGCCCCGGCUAACUUCGUGCCAGCAGCCGCGGUAAUACGAAGGGGGCUAGCGUUGUUCGGAUUUACUGGGCGUAAAGCGCACGUAGGCGGACUAUUAAGUCAGGGGUGAAAUCCCGGGGCUCAACCCCGGAACUGCCUUUGAUACUGGUAGUCUUGAGUUCGAGAGAGGUGAGUGGAAUUCCGAGUGUAGAGGUGAAAUUCGUAGAUAUUCGGAGGAACACCAGUGGCGAAGGCGGCUCACUGGCUCGAUACUGACGCUGAGGUGCGAAAGCGUGGGGAGCAAACAGGAUUAGAAACCCUUGUAGUCCCAUGA